UACGAAGGGGGCUAGCGUUGCUCGGAAUCACUGGGCGUAAAGCGCACGUAGGCGGAUUGUUAAGUCAGGGGUGAAAUCCUGGAGCUCAACUCCAGAACUGCCUUUGAUACUGGCGAUCUUGAGUUCGGGAGAGGUGAGUGGAACUGCGAGUGUAGAGGUGAAAUUCGUAGAUAUUCGCAAGAACACCAGUGGCGAAGGCGGCUCACUGGCCCGAUACUGACGCUGAGGUGCGAAAGCGUGGGGAGCGAACAGG
RNAcentral lists this ribosomal RNA (253 nucleotides) under uncultured bacterium. Its description in RNAcentral is "partial 16S ribosomal RNA". It matches the Rfam family "Bacterial small subunit ribosomal RNA", at positions 524 to 776 of the family's 1533-position model. The record is from RNAcentral.